RNAcentral lists this ribosomal RNA (371 nucleotides) under uncultured organism. RNAcentral's name for it is "bacterial SSU rRNA". It matches the Rfam family "Bacterial small subunit ribosomal RNA", at positions 526 to 896 of the family's 1533-position model. The record is from RNAcentral.
CGAAGGGGGCUAGCGUUGUUCGGAAUUACUGGGCGUAAAGCGUACGUAGGCGGAUUUGUAAGUAGGGGGUGAAAUCCCCAGGCUCAACCUGGGAACUGCCUUCUAGACUGCAAGUCUUGAGAUCAGGAGAGGCGAGUGGAAUACCGAGUGUAGAGGUGAAAUUCGUAGAUAUUCGGUGGAACACCAGUGGCGAAGGCGACUCGCUGGACUGAUACUGACGCUGAGGUACGAAAGCGUGGGGAGCAAACAGGAUUAGAUACCCUGGUAGUCCACGCCUUAAACGAUGAGAGCUAGUUGUCAGUAAGCAUGCUUAUUGGUGACGCAGCUAACGCAUUAAGCUCUCCGCCGUGGGGAGUACGGCCGCAAGGUUA